GAUGAACGCUAGCUACAGGCUUAACACAUGCAAGUCGCGGGGCAGCAUGGGGGUUGCUUGCAAUCCCCGAUGGCGACCGGCGCACGGGUGAGUAACGCGUAUCCAACCUGCCCUUCACCACGGGAUAACCCGGCGAAAGUCGGACUAAUACCGUAUGUUGUCCAUUGACGGCAUCCGAUUUGGACGAAAGGUUUGGCGGUGAAGGAUGGGGAUGCGUCCGAUUAGCUGGACGGCGGGGUGACGGCCCACCGUGGCGACGAUCGGUAGGGGUUCUGAGAGGAAGGUCCCCCACACUGGAACUGAGACACGGUCCAGACUCCUACGGGAGGCAGCAGUGAGGAAUAUUGGUCAAUGGGCGUAAGCCUGAACCAGCCAAGUAGCGUGCAGGAUGACGGCCCUAUGGGUUGUAAACUGCUUUUAUGCGGGGAUAAAGUGGCCCACGUGUGGGUUUUUGCAGGUACCGCAUGAAUGAGGACCGGCUAAUUCCGUG
Molecule: ribosomal RNA, 490 nt
Filed under: uncultured bacterium
Lineage: Bacteria
Description: partial 16S ribosomal RNA
Rfam family: Bacterial small subunit ribosomal RNA
Source: RNAcentral